UAGGGAACCUUCGGCAAUGGGGGCAACCCUGACCGAGCAACGCCGCGUGAGUGAAGAAGGUUUUCGGAUCGUAAAGCUCUGUUGUAAGUCAAGAACGGGUGUGAGAGUGGAAAGUUCACACUGUGACGGUAGCUUACCAGAAAGGGACGGCUAACUACGUGCCAGCAGCCGCGGUAAUACGUAGGUCCCGAGCGUUGUCCGGAUUUAUUGGGCGUAAAGCGAGCGCAGGCGGUUUGAUAAGUCUGAAGUUAAAGGCUGUGGCUCAACCAUAGUUCGCUUUGGAAACUGUCAAACUUGAGUGCAGAAGGGGAGAGUGGAAUUCCAUGUGUAGCGGUGAAAUGCGUAGAUAUAUGGAGGAACACCGGUGGCGAAAGCGGCUCUCUGGUCUGUAACUGACGCUGAGGCUCGAAAGCGUGGGGAGCGAACAGGAUUAGAUACCCUGGUAGUCCACGCCGUAAACGAUGAGUGCUAGGUGUUGGAUCCUUUCCGGGAUUCAGUGCCGCAGCUAACGCAUUAAGCACUCCGCCUGGGGAGUACGACCGCAAGGUUGAAA
Molecule: ribosomal RNA, 553 nt
Filed under: uncultured bacterium
Lineage: Bacteria
Description: partial 16S ribosomal RNA
Rfam family: Bacterial small subunit ribosomal RNA
Source: RNAcentral